Molecule: unclassified non-coding RNA, 520 nt
Filed under: uncultured Entrophospora
Lineage: Eukaryota; Fungi; Glomeromycota; Glomeromycetes; Entrophosporales; Entrophosporaceae
Description: SSU rRNA
Rfam family: Eukaryotic small subunit ribosomal RNA
Source: RNAcentral
AGCAGCCGCGGUAAUUCCAGCUCCAAUAGCGUAUAUUAAAGUUGUUGCAGUUAAAAAGCUCGUAGUUGAAUUUCGGGAUUGACGUGAUGGUCGUGCCUUAAGGGGUAUGAACUGUUGCAGUCAAUUUCUCACCUUCUGGAGAAAUAUGAUGUCCUUAAUUGGGUGUCAUAUGGAACCAGAACUUUUACCUUGAAAAAUUAGAGUGUUUAAAGCAGGCUUAUUGCUCGAAUACAUUAGCACGGAAUAAUAAAAUAGGACGGCAUGGUUCUAUUUUGUUGGUUUCUAGGAUCACCGUAAUGAUUAAUAGGGAUAGUUGGGGGCAUUAGUAUUCAAUUGUCAGAGGUGAAAUUCUUGGAUUUAUUGAAGACUAACUACUGCGAAAGCAUUUGCCAAGGAUGUUUUCAUUAAUCAAGAACGAAAGUUAGGGGAUCGAAGACGAUCAGAUACCGUCGUAGUCUUAACCAUAAACUAUGCCGACUAGGAAUCAGACGAUGUUAAUUUUUAAUGACUCGUUUGGCUA